GUGAAGACACAGAAGGAGAUUGUCACAGACAGGGCAGAACCAUCUACCUUCCCUCCCAUCACCACAUCACUGGAGACCAAAACUCUCCCCACCCUUUAGGGACGCAAGUCGCAAAACAGCAGAGGGUUCACAGAUACAUGGGACACAAUUGAGUUCAUAGUCUUCACUGGAGAGCAAAUGAGGACAGGAAGAUAGAGACCAGACCUGGCAACCCAGUUGCUUUGUGAGUUUUCCACAAAUAUAUUCAGCUAGGGAGGAGAAACAAAAAAAAAUGCAGAUUGGAGAUAAGCCCAGGUUGGAAUCCAAGAAAACUAGAACAAUAGGACCCUUGGUCCACAAACGACAAAUUGAUGGUGUCCUGUGCUCUCCUUCCUAAGACAGAGAAGGAGCCUCGUAUAUCCAACAAUCGUCUUCAAAGAAGGUUAAGAUACAAUUACUCAUUGGAAGCAUCUGGCAGACUUGCGCCAAGGCUAGGCAUCAUUCUGGGUACUGAGGAAAGAAAAAUGGACAAGACUCACUCCUGCCUUUGAGAAGCUCAGAGUCCAGUGAGGGAAACAGGUAAACAAUUUCCUUGUAACACAUGUGAGGUUAUUAAAAAGCAGGUACAAAGAGAGAUUAGAGGCAACAUCUGUUUCAAAUUGGGGCUUGCCUUUUUGUAAUCCCUCCUAUGCCAAAUUUCUAAAAAUGUUAAUCAAGAUAUAAAAAAUGGCCCAGGCUUGGCAGUCCAUGACUAUAAUCGUAGCACUUUGGGAGGCUGAGGUGGGAAGAUCAC
RNAcentral lists this long non-coding RNA (772 nucleotides) under Homo sapiens (human). Its description in RNAcentral is "HSALNT0384616". The record is from RNAcentral. Lineage: Eukaryota; Metazoa; Chordata; Mammalia; Primates; Hominidae.